Molecule: ribosomal RNA, 69 nt
Filed under: Marinomonas fungiae
Lineage: Bacteria; Pseudomonadati; Pseudomonadota; Gammaproteobacteria; Oceanospirillales; Oceanospirillaceae
Description: 16S rRNA. Bacterial SSU
Rfam family: Bacterial small subunit ribosomal RNA
Source: RNAcentral
UUAAACUGAAGAGUUUGAUCAUGGCUCAGAUUGAACGCUGGCGGCAGGCUUAACACAUGCAAGUCGAGC